AGGCUCAGUAACACGUCGGUAACUUGCCCUACGGUCAGGCAUAAUCUCGGGAAACUGAGUGUAAUACCUGAUAGAGAACGGAUACUGGAAUGUUCCAUUCUUGAAACUCGUGCCGUAGGAUAGGCCGGCGGCGGAUUAGGCAGUUGGUGAGGUAACGGCUCACCAAACCUAUGAUCCGUACGGGCCAUGAGAGUGGUCGCCCGGAGAGGGACACUGAAAUACUGGUCCCAGCCCUACGGGGUGCAGCAGGUUCGAGUUCUCCACACUGCAUGAAAAUGCGAUGGGGGAAUCCCACGUGCUUAUGUCUAACAUAGGCUUUUGCCAAGACCAGAAGCCUUGGCGAAUAAGGGGUGGGCAAGACCGGUGCCAGCCGCCGCGGUAACACCGGCGCCCCGAGUGGCACUCGCGAUUAUUGGGCCUAAAGCGUCCGUAGCCGGAUUGGUAAAUCCUCUGUGAAAUCGUACUGCUCAACGGUACGGCGCGCAGGGGACACUGCUAGUCUAGGGACCGGGAGGGGUCAGAGGUGUGCCGUGGGGACCGGUAAAAUGGGAUAAUCCACGGUAGACCACCAAUGGCGAAGGCAUCUGACCAGAACGGAUCCGACGGUGAGGGACGAAAGCCAGGGGAGCGAACCGGAUUAGAUACCCGAGUAGUCCUGGCCGUAAACGCUGCGAGCAAGGUGUGGCUUGUCCCAAGAGGACCGGCCGUGUCGAAAUGAAGAUGA
Molecule: ribosomal RNA, 724 nt
Filed under: uncultured euryarchaeote
Lineage: Archaea; Methanobacteriati; Methanobacteriota
Description: bacterial SSU rRNA
Rfam family: Archaeal small subunit ribosomal RNA
Source: RNAcentral